This 360-nucleotide transfer-messenger RNA is filed under the name Devosia sp. FJ2-5-3. It matches the Rfam family "Alphaproteobacteria transfer-messenger RNA". Rfam says of the family: Bacterial tmRNA, also known as 10Sa RNA or SsrA, is named for its dual tRNA and mRNA-like properties. Its role is to liberate the mRNA from a stalled ribosome. The record is from RNAcentral. Lineage: Bacteria; Pseudomonadati; Pseudomonadota; Alphaproteobacteria; Hyphomicrobiales; Devosiaceae.
GAGUUUGCAUCAAGACCCGGGGUGUCCUAUAUAGGGAGUGCCCGCAAGGGCUAUGGCGAUAAACGGUCAUUGUAAUAAACCCAUCGGACCCGGGGGCAGUACCCGGCGUCUCCACCAUCUCCUCCCCUCAAAAGGGGGAGCCACUGGGGACGAAACAGGAUCGACGAGGGCGUAAAGAGUGUGCUUUUGCUCGGUGAGGUACCACCGUUAUCGGUCCGAAACUUAUAGUUGCAAAUGACAACAAUAAGGCUCCAGUCGCUCUCGCUGCGUAAGCAGUGCUAGCAUUGGGAAAUUAAGUCCUCCACCCCUAGCCGGGUGACAGGCGGGGUUCGCAGGCACCUGGCAACAGAAGCCUGCACU